RNAcentral lists this ribosomal RNA (1712 nucleotides) under Staphylococcus aureus. RNAcentral's name for it is "partial 23S ribosomal RNA". It matches the Rfam family "Bacterial large subunit ribosomal RNA", at positions 513 to 2229 of the family's 2925-position model. Lineage: Bacteria; Bacillati; Bacillota; Bacilli; Caryophanales; Staphylococcaceae. The record is from RNAcentral.
GGUGAAAAGCACCCCGGAAGGGGAGUGAAAUAGAACCUGAAACCGUGUGCUUACAAGUAGUCAGAGCCCGUUAAUGGGUGAUGGCGUGCCUUUUGUAGAAUGAACCGGCGAGUUACGAUUUGAUGCAAGGUUAAGCAGUAAAUGUGGAGCCGUAGCGAAAGCGAGUCUGAAUAGGGCGUUUAGUAUUUGGUCGUAGACCCGAAACCAGGUGAUCUACCCUUGGUCAGGUUGAAGUUCAGGUAACACUGAAUGGAGGACCGAACCGACUUACGUUGAAAAGUGAGCGGAUGAACUGAGGGUAGCGGAGAAAUUCCAAUCGAACCUGGAGAUAGCUGGUUCUCUCCGAAAUAGCUUUAGGGCUAGCCUCAAGUGAUGAUUAUUGGAGGUAGAGCACUGUUUGGACGAGGGGCCCCUCUCGGGUUACCGAAUUCAGACAAACUCCGAAUGCCAAUUAAUUUAACUUGGGAGUCAGAACAUGGGUGAUAAGGUCCGUGUUCGAAAGGGAAACAGCCCAGACCACCAGCUAAGGUCCCAAAAUAUAUGUUAAGUGGAAAAGGAUGUGGCGUUGCCCAGACAACUAGGAUGUUGGCUUAGAAGCAGCCAUCAUUUAAAGAGUGCGUAAUAGCUCACUAGUCGAGUGACACUGCGCCGAAAAUGUACCGGGGCUAAACAUAUUACCGAAGCUGUGGAUUGUCCUUUGGACAAUGGUAGGAGAGCGUUCUAAGGGCGUUGAAGCAUGAUCGUAAGGACAUGUGGAGCGCUUAGAAGUGAGAAUGCCGGUGUGAGUAGCGAAAGACGGGUGAGAAUCCCGUCCACCGAUUGACUAAGGUUUCCAGAGGAAGGCUCGUCCGCUCUGGGUUAGUCGGGUCCUAAGCUGAGGCCGACAGGCGUAGGCGAUGGAUAACAGGUUGAUAUUCCUGUACCACCUAUAAUCGUUUUAAUCGAUGGGGGGACGCAGUAGGAUAGGCGAAGCGUGCGAUUGGAUUGCACGUCUAAGCAGUAAGGCUGAGUAUUAGGCAAAUCCGGUACUCAUUAAGGCUGAGCUGUGAUGGGGAGAAGACAUUGUGUCUUCGAGUCGUUGAUUUCACACUGCCGAGAAAAGCCUCUAGAUAGAAAAUAGGUGCCCGUACCGCAAACCGACACAGGUAGUCAAGAUGAGAAUUCUAAGGUGAGCGAGCGAACUCUCGUUAAGGAACUCGGCAAAAUGACCCCGUAACUUCGGGAGAAGGGGUGCUCUUUAGGGUUAACGCCCAGAAGAGCCGCAGUGAAUAGGCCCAAGCGACUGUUUAUCAAAAACACAGGUCUCUGCUAAACCGUAAGGUGAUGUAUAGGGGCUGACGCCUGCCCGGUGCUGGAAGGUUAAGAGGAGUGGUUAGCUUCUGCGAAGCUACGAAUCGAAGCCCCAGUAAACGGCGGCCGUAACUAUAACGGUCCUAAGGUAGCGAAAUUCCUUGUCGGGUAAGUUCCGACCCGCACGAAAGGCGUAACGAUUUGGGCACUGUCUCAACGAGAGACUCGGUGAAAUCAUAGUACCUGUGAAGAUGCAGGUUACCCGCGACAGGACGGAAAGACCCCGUGGAGCUUUACUGUAGCCUGAUAUUGAAAUUCGGCACAGCUUGUACAGGAUAGGUAGGAGCCUUUGAAACGUGAGCGCUAGCUUACGUGGAGGCGCUGGUGGGAUACUACCCUAGCUGUGUUGGCUUUCUAACCCG